Long non-coding RNA from Etheostoma cragini (Arkansas darter), 245 nucleotides. RefSeq lists it as uncharacterized. The transcript is spliced from 3 exons. Lineage: Eukaryota; Metazoa; Chordata; Actinopteri; Perciformes; Percidae. The record is from RefSeq and is a predicted model, not a curated record.
UGGCCAAAAAAAUAGGUGUAUUGACCAUAAAUUCCAAAAAUAACUGUAAAACUAAAGUUAACAAGUUAGUUGCGUAAAACAAGUGACAAACAUUGUAAAAAGGGACAAAAACGUAAGAAAAAGUUAAAAAAAAUUGAUUAAAAAGUGUCAACAAAAGAGUUGAUUUUUGGUGUCUAUUGUUGCUGUUGCAGUUACAGUACAAGGUAAUAAGGUGUAAAAUAAAUAAAGAAAUAACAGUAGAUUCU